Molecule: non-coding RNA, 237 nt
Organism: Pelobates cultripes (western spadefoot toad)
Lineage: Eukaryota; Metazoa; Chordata; Amphibia; Anura; Pelobatidae
Source: the annotation of a GenBank genome assembly
CUCGGACCUAAACCUUCCCACUCUAAGCAAAGAAGAUGCUGACUACCUCCUAACACCUUUCAGUUUGGAAGAAAUUUCCACCCUGAUCGGCUCCCUACCAGCUCACAAGGCCCCAGGCCCAGAUGGUCUCCCAAACUCAUACUAUCGUACAUUCCACUCUAUCCUGUCUCCACAUCUACUUAAUCUCUUCAACCAUAGCAUGGAGAGGGGAACCCUGCCACAAGAACUGUUACUAGC